AAGCUUGCCAGUUUAACAACUCUGUUCACUGUUCCUAUUGCACAGUGGGCUCUUUGACGCAACAGAAAGAGCUGCCUCUCUCUCUCUCUCUCUCUCUCUUUUUUUUUUUUUUUGCUUCCUCUUAAAUCCGCCUGGCCAAUUUAAAGCUUGUGGAUAUUUCUUCCCCCUCGGGGAAAGCUUAUGUGAGGAUUUUCUUUUUUAACAGUUCAUUCCAUGAAACCGUUUUUUUCUUGUUUGCUGUUAGAAAAUGUUGGAGCUGAACACGAGGCUUUCAUUGCAGUGCACUUUACUGGGAAGCAUGUUACUCCUAAGCACAUGCUGCCUGCAGGGAAGAUAGUUAUUUGCUAUUUUGUAUUUCAUCUUAGAUGCUGUCAAGGGAACUAGGAAAGGAUGUAAACAUAUUGUUAAUGUCUGUCUUCAAGCUGUGUUUGAGGAAGUGCAUAUCUUUGAAAGGUUGAAUCAUUAUUUAUGAGGAUCAUUACAGCUGAAAGGUGUCACUGCAAUAUUGGUCAUAUGCAACUGCAUUGCAAAUGAAAUUUGUAUGGGAUACCACUGUUGGCUGUAAAGUGUGCUGCAAAUGGUCUAUUGCAUAAGCCUCUAGUGGAGUGUGUUCUCAGGAAAUGACUCUUAGCUUGAAUUACCCUGGAAAAGAGGCUGCCUAAAAGCAAGUCUUCCUACUCAUUACAGCAGGUUUCCAUAUGAACAGAAACAAAGACUCAGAAGCACGGAGCUCAUCUCCUUAAAAAAAAAUCUCUUCCAAUAUUCUGG
This is a long non-coding RNA of Neopsephotus bourkii (Bourke's parrot), 768 nucleotides long. RefSeq lists it as uncharacterized. NCBI's taxonomy places the organism in Eukaryota, Metazoa, Chordata, Aves, Psittaciformes, Psittacidae. The record is from RefSeq and is a predicted model, not a curated record. The transcript has 5 exons.